CUUCACAUAAUGACAGCAAUUUCUCUGAACUAAAUGUUAAUUAAUAAGGCCUGUAAUACUAUGAGAAGGAAAUGGUGGCAAUUGGCAAAUGGAACUCUGUUGCUUGGUAACAAAACCUGAGAAAUAAUCAAAACCCUCUGCACUCACUCAGAAGUGUCCAUAAGUCCUGUUCAAGUAAUCUUAAAAGAGACUGUUCCAAUAUUCGAUCUGCCUCGUUCAACAAGGGACUAAUAGUUCUCUUACUGUGUCCGGAAUUGGUGGGUUCUUGGUCUCACUGACUUCAAGACUGAAGCCGCGAACCCUCGC
RNAcentral lists this long non-coding RNA (306 nucleotides) under Homo sapiens (human). RNAcentral's name for it is "HSALNT0321851". Lineage: Eukaryota; Metazoa; Chordata; Mammalia; Primates; Hominidae. The record is from RNAcentral.